UUACCAGCACGUUAUGGUGGGCACUCUAAGGAGACUGCCGGUGGACAAACCGGAGGAAGGUGGGGAUGACGUCAAGUCAUCAUGGCCCUUACGGCCUGGGCUACACACGUGCUACAAUGGUCGGUACAAAGGGUUGCCAAGCCGCGAGGUGGAGCUAAUCCCAUAAAACCGAUCGUAGUCCGGAUCGCAGUCUGCAACUCGACUGCGUGAAGUCGGAAUCGCUAGUAAUCGUGAAUCAGAAUGUCACGGUGAAUACGUUCCCGGGCCUU
RNAcentral lists this ribosomal RNA (269 nucleotides) under uncultured Pseudomonas sp. Its description in RNAcentral is "partial 16S ribosomal RNA". It matches the Rfam family "Bacterial small subunit ribosomal RNA", at positions 1115 to 1382 of the family's 1533-position model. The record is from RNAcentral. Lineage: Bacteria; Pseudomonadati; Pseudomonadota; Gammaproteobacteria; Pseudomonadales; Pseudomonadaceae.